This 72-nucleotide transfer RNA is filed under the name Stegodyphus mimosarum. It matches the Rfam family "tRNA". From Rfam's summary of the family: Transfer RNA (tRNA) molecules are approximately 80 nucleotides in length. Their secondary structure includes four short double-helical elements and three loops (D, anti-codon, and T loops). The record is from Rfam by way of RNAcentral. Lineage: Eukaryota; Metazoa; Arthropoda; Arachnida; Araneae; Eresidae.
CCGUUCGUGGUGUAGUGGUCAGCACGCUCGGCGCGUAUUCGAGAGGUCCGUGGUUCGAGUCCCGGCGACGGC